Molecule: ribosomal RNA, 460 nt
Filed under: uncultured bacterium
Lineage: Bacteria
Description: partial 16S ribosomal RNA
Rfam family: Bacterial small subunit ribosomal RNA
Source: RNAcentral
CCUACGGGGGGCAGCAGUGAGGAAUAUUGGUCAAUGGACGAGAGUCUGAACCAGCCAAGUAGCGUGAAGGAUGACUGCUCUAUGGGUUGUAAACUUCUUUUAUAUGGGAAUAAAAUGUUCCACGUGUGGGAUUUUGUAUGUACCAUAUGAAUAAGGAUCGGCUAACUCCGUGCCAGCAGCCGCGGUAAUACGGAGGAUCCGAGCGUUAUCCGGAUUUAUUGGGUUUAAAGGGAGCGUAGGUGGAUUGGUAAGUCAGUUGUGAAAGUUUGCGGCUCAACCGUAAGAUUGCAGUUGAAACUGGCAGUCGUGAGUACAGUAGAGGUGGGCGGAAUGCGUGGUGUAGCGGUGAAAUGCUUAGAUAUCACGAAGAACUCCGAUUGCGAAGGCAGCUCACUGGACUGCAACUGACACUGAGGCACGAAAGUGUGGGUAUCAAACGGGAUUAGAUACCCUUGUAGUC